GACGUAGGUGGCGAACGUUAUCCGGAAUUAUUGGGCGUAAAGGGUGCGUAGAUGGCUUGAUAAGUUAGCAGUGGAAAAAUCGAGGCUCAACCUCGUGGAAGCUGGUAAUACUGUCAGGCUCGAGUGCAGGAGAGGUUAACGGAACUCCCAUGUGGAGCGGUAAAAAUGUGUAGAUAUAUGGAAGAACACCAAUAACGGCGAAGGCAGUUAACCUAUUCUGUUUACUGACAUUUGAGGCACGAAAGCGUGGGAGCAAAACGGG
This 262-nucleotide ribosomal RNA is filed under the name uncultured bacterium. RNAcentral's name for it is "partial 16S ribosomal RNA". It matches the Rfam family "Bacterial small subunit ribosomal RNA", at positions 524 to 776 of the family's 1533-position model. The record is from RNAcentral.